Molecule: long non-coding RNA, 1139 nt
Organism: Mus musculus (house mouse)
Lineage: Eukaryota; Metazoa; Chordata; Mammalia; Rodentia; Muridae
Product: predicted gene, 34289
Exons: 3
Source: RefSeq, a predicted model, not a curated record
UGAUUGUGUGUCUGAGUGUGUGUGUGUGUGUGUGUGUGUGUGUAUGUGUGUGUGUGUGUUUUUUGCGGGCGAGGGGAAGAUGGCACACAUGCGGCAGGCAGAGGCUAACUCUCUGGAGUCUGUUUUCUCCUUCUACCUAACACGUGUUCUGGGAAUCAAACUUGGGCUGUCUGGCUUACCUUCACCUGCUGGCCAUCUACCGCAAACUGCCUCUCAGGACACCAGCAUGAUCUAGGUGGUCUCCUCUGCCCCAUCCCUCCAUCCUCUGCUCUCAGCUAUAACUGAAUCCCAGGUCUGGAACCAACACAUUCAGCAGCCUCAGCGCAUGUGUGGUAACAACGUCAAGGCAGACCACAGUCUGUGCUCUGGAGAGGAGGCAAGCCCACUCCAUGUGUCCUGGUUUCUCUUUUAACCUAGAAGCUCUUUCGCUUGCUGCUGUUACUCAUGCCUGUGGCCCAUUUUCCUGAUCAGUCUCUUUUCCUCUCUGCUCACACCUCCUCCCUCUGACUCUGUGAUAAAAGUGCUGAUCCAGUCAAUGCCGGAAAGCCAUCCCAGCUCCUCACAGUGCAAAAUUAGACAAAGAGCUGGAUGUCUCCAAGAAAGCAACUGUUUCUGAAGCCCUGGAAGUUCCAUAUCAAUGAGCUACUGGGUGUCCUGGCAACGUUCCCUGGGAGAACCCCAGCAUCCUGGCCUUUCCCCAGAUACCCGUGGCCCUGGCAAGCUUCAAAGCUACAACCCAGACAUGUCCGGGCAGAGCAGACAUCAAUGGACUCCACCAGUUGUUUGCUGCUCUCCUGAGAUAGGCAGCAGCUACAGUGUUUGAAUAAAAAUGGUUAGUUGGGAGCCAACUCUCAGCAGAAAGCAGCUAUCUUCUCUACAUCCAUCUUGGGCUAUUUACUUACAGGUUGGUACUUUUCCACCAUGACAAGAGGCUUGUUUUCCUAACAUGAUGUUUUUGCAAGCAGCCCACCACAGCUGAACACACUCUGAUAACAUUCUGUUUUUCUCAGACACAUCCUGGACUUGUGGUUAAGUGUCUCCAGCUGCACUCCCCAGAUUGUGUUUAUAUACCCAGAGUUGCCUUUCAAUAAAUGAGACUUGAUUAGACUGCCUUGUCACUAUUCUUUGCGUCUCUUGCC